AUGAAAGUAGAAGAAGUUAUCGAAACUCGGAACCACAUGUUCAAUCUUUUUUUAGCGGUUUCCCCAGAGAUCUUUAUCAUUAACGCAACCUUCAUUUUGCUCAUUCAUGGAGUUGUAUUUAGUACCUCUAAGAAAGAUGAUUAUCCACCGUUAGUUAGUAAUGUGGGUUGGCUUGGAUUACUUAGGAACCUUAGCAUGGGGGACGUUCUAAUCCUUUUGCCUCCGCAAGGCCGGCUAAUCGUACGCAGCAAGAGCAAGGGAACUCCCCUGGUUCAGGAAGGCACACGAGUCCGAACGCUAUUAUGA
This 306-nucleotide ribosomal RNA is filed under the name Triticum aestivum (bread wheat). RNAcentral describes it as "partial small subunit ribosomal RNA". Lineage: Eukaryota; Viridiplantae; Streptophyta; Magnoliopsida; Poales; Poaceae. The record is from RNAcentral.